GGAUUAUAAACAAUAUUUUUUUUAGAAAUAAGUGCGACCUGAACCUGGGUCGCAAUUCCGAACGUUUUGAAAUAGGAAAAAUCCGUAGCUCUAUGGUCCGCAAAUAGUCAAAAAAUAACAUAAGGACCUAAGAGCUACGGUUCCGCAGCUAGGAAGGAUAACAUGAUUAAUGAGACAGACAAAUUGUAUAUAGAAUGCUUAAAAAAAUACAGUCGUGUCAACCACAGAAUCCUGUAUGUAGGAAAAUGUGUUUUCUAUAAUAAAAAUUGUUAUCACUGAUUAAUAUAUGAUUAAGGUAAAUGAAAUGAUUUUCAUGUGUGCAGUCAAAAAUGAUUUGUAGAAAUCGAUAGUUGACACUGAAGGGGCAAUGUAAAACCGUCAGUCGAAGAAAGACACUUAAGGAUGAACUUAGAUGAUCGUAGGUGAAAUUAAAUAAAUUAAGACUUCAAAAUUGAUGCUUUUAGCUGGAAGAGUAAACGUUAAGGAUCAAAAUAAGCUAAAAUUAUUGAUACAUGUAGGUCCUUUUUGAGAUAUUUGAUAUAUAAAAUAUGACGGGAAAAAGAUGACUCGGACUUUUACCUUAUAUCUGCAUUAGUAUAAUUUGGGUCUCAAAUCAAAAGAAAGAAAAUCAUGAAUCUGCUAAAAUUUGGUUAAAUGACCUGUUAAGAGCUACUAAAUCUUAUAUGAAAAGAUAAAUGAGUGUUAUGUGGCAAAAUAUUUUACCUUGUAUCGUAUACAAAACAACACCAAGGAGUCCGAACAUCUGACACAAAUUCUAAAACCUCAC
RNAcentral lists this long non-coding RNA (787 nucleotides) under Mytilus galloprovincialis (Mediterranean mussel). Lineage: Eukaryota; Metazoa; Mollusca; Bivalvia; Mytilida; Mytilidae. The record is from RNAcentral.